RNAcentral lists this long non-coding RNA (993 nucleotides) under Rattus norvegicus (Norway rat). RNAcentral describes it as "long non-coding RNA NONRATT019259". Lineage: Eukaryota; Metazoa; Chordata; Mammalia; Rodentia; Muridae. The record is from RNAcentral.
CACUCGAGUUCCCAGUAUUUUCUGAUUCUAUGUGCUGCUGGUGUCUCUUGUACUCCUUUCUAUCAGUGGCUCUGCUAAGACUGCUUCAGGGGACACACAUUCCUUUAGAUUAUACAAAGCAUAGCUUGGAAAAUGGCUGGCAGUUUCAGAAUCUAGUCACGAUUGCACGCAUGAGCACCUCACACAUCCAUGCCCCCUUUCCCCCCUCCCACCUCCGCAGCUGGCUGACCUGUCUCACCCACUGCUGGCCUAUCGAACGGCCAGGACUGUCUGGUUUUGGCUCAUGCCUUUGUCCAUGUCUGGCUUAGUUCCUCUCUGUCUAUGCUUGCCUCUACCCCCAACGCCCCAGGCGGCACAAGUGUUUGGCCAUACAAAACUACUGAUAGAAAAGGUGGCAAAAACUUCAAACUUUGCUAAAUUCUCUAACAGUUUAUUCUUUUGUUAAUUUCUGUCUUAUUUAAAUAUUGUUUUAAGAAAAACAAAUACAAAAUUAAUUAUCUAAAGGCAAAGAAUGCAAAGCAACCUUUGUGUUCCUUAUAAUAACUGACUUAAUAACUCUGCAGCUGCGUUAUGGGGAGAGUAUAAAGCUUCUGUUCCGAGAACAAAGGAGCACGUGCAGAAAUGAGACGAAAAAAAAUCAGUGACAGUAUUUCACUACACAGAUUACUUAAAAGGUUUUAGUCAAAGCCUCUCAACAGAUGCAAUUUUAAAAUGCUUUUUAGCUGGAAAAAAAAAUGAAAGUGCUUACCCGGUAAAAGAACCGAAGUAGUCCUGAACUGUUACGUAAGACUUUCUAUAGUUGGAUCUUUGUCAAAAAGGGAUGGGGGUGAUAGGAGAAAACAGCAACAACAAUCAAAAAAGUUGGAGCUGCUGUGGCUAGAGGACAACUUCUGUGCUUCCAGAUAGGAUUCUUGCUGUAGAAAUGGAACUUCAGUCAGCACAGCAUCCUGUCCCAGUAGAAAAAUGAGUUUGUCAGUUAAAAAAAAAAAAAAA